RNAcentral lists this transfer RNA (54 nucleotides) under Ictidomys tridecemlineatus (thirteen-lined ground squirrel). Its description in RNAcentral is "Spermophilus tridecemlineatus (thirteen-lined ground squirrel) tRNA". It matches the Rfam family "tRNA". From Rfam's summary of the family: Transfer RNA (tRNA) molecules are approximately 80 nucleotides in length. Lineage: Eukaryota; Metazoa; Chordata; Mammalia; Rodentia; Sciuridae. The record is from Rfam by way of RNAcentral.
GGGGUUGUGGCUCAGUGGUAGAGCACUUGCCUCGAAAGCAUGAGGACAAUCCUC